Molecule: ribosomal RNA, 460 nt
Filed under: uncultured bacterium
Lineage: Bacteria
Description: partial 16S ribosomal RNA
Rfam family: Bacterial small subunit ribosomal RNA
Source: RNAcentral
CCUACGUGCGGCUGCAGUGAGUAAUAUUGGUCAAUGGACGAGAGUCUGAACCAGCCAAGUAGCGUGAAGGAUGACUGCCCUAUGGGUUGUAAACUUCUUUUAUAUGGGAAUAAAAUGUUCCACGUGUGGGAUUUUGUAUGUAACAUAUGAAUAAGGAUCGGCUAACUCCGUGCCAGCAGCCGCGGUAAUACAGAGGAUCCGAGCGUUAUCAGGAUUUAUUGGGUUUAAAGGGAGCGUAGGUGGAUUGUUAAGUCAGUUGUGAAAGUGUGCGGCUCAAACGUAAAAUUGCAGUUGAAACUGGCAGUCUUGAGUACAGUAGAGGUGGGCUGAAUUCGUUGUGUAGCGGUGAAAUGCUUAGAUAUCACGAAGAACUCCGAUUGCGAAGGCAGUUCACUGGACUGCAACUGACACUGAGGCUCGAAAGUGUGGGUAUCAAACAGGAUUAGAUACCCGUGUAGUC